This 374-nucleotide ribosomal RNA is filed under the name uncultured Glomeromycotina. RNAcentral's name for it is "SSU rRNA". It matches the Rfam family "Eukaryotic small subunit ribosomal RNA", at positions 696 to 1072 of the family's 1831-position model. The record is from RNAcentral. Lineage: Eukaryota; Fungi; Glomeromycota.
CUCCUUCUUGUAGAACCGUAAUGCCAUUAAUUUAGUGUUGCGGGGAAACAGGACUGUUACUUUGAAAAAAUUAGAGUGUUUAAAGCAGGCUAACGCUUGAAUACAUUAGCAUGGAAUAAUGAAAUAGGACGACGAUCCUAUUUUGUUGGUUUCUAGGAUUGACGUAAUGAUUAAUAGGGAUAGUUGGGGGCAUUAGUAUUCAAUUGUCAGAGGUGAAAUUCUUGGAUUUAUUGAAGACUAACUACUGCGAAAGCAUUUGCCAAGGAUGUUUUCAUUAAUCAAGAACGAAAGUUAGGGGAUCGAAGACGAUCAGAUACCGUCGUAGUCUUAACCAUAAACUAUGCCGACAAGGGAUCGGAUGAUGUUAAUUUUUA